Molecule: long non-coding RNA, 1316 nt
Organism: Rosa chinensis
Lineage: Eukaryota; Viridiplantae; Streptophyta; Magnoliopsida; Rosales; Rosaceae
Exons: 11
Source: RefSeq, a predicted model, not a curated record
AAGCUUUACUAUAAAGCUUACUUUUCUCUUUCAUAGACUUUCGACAGUAGUUCUUCAAAAAGCUUGAAAAUUUGAACUAGAAAGAAAUACAAAGAAGUUGGAUAAAUGCUGGGUGAAGUUGGUCUGAUGAUCUUUUUUUCCUAAGAAGAUCAGCUCCCUUAAUGUUCCUGCAAUGCUCCUCCGAUUCUGAUUACAGGGCAUUCUGCUCUCCUUAGACAAGCAGAGUUAAAUGCAUUGGUGGAUCUGCAUGUGAAUGAGGCAAUGACACACACGAGUUUGGAGCAGAAUCACAGCCAAAAGAGGCUGAGGAAAGUGUGAGCUCCGUGUUGUGACAAAGCUAAUGUCAAAAAAGGACAGUGGUCUCCUGAGGAAGAUGAAGCUAAGUCUUGACACUCAUGGAACUGGUGGCAAUUGGAUUCAUCUGCCACAAAAAGCUGGCUUUUAGGUUCUGCAACAAGAAUCGAGUUGACCGCAUUAAGAACGCGUGGUUUUCUAAUAAAGAAGCCAAGCUGCCGAAAUCGCAGAAAUUCACCCCUGAAUUUGGUUGGUUUUCGAUCCCUAUUUGCUCUUCAAUUUAGUUUACAUUGGUCACUUUAUGUGGAUUUAUUGAUCUGUCAGAAUUGAGGCAUUAAUUCAAUGUUUUCAUAUUGUGGGAACUUUAUUUCUUCUGUGACUUGGCAUCUUAGUAAUUGACUGCAAUACUUUCAAGAAAAGUCAGUUCAUCAACGCGCAGACACUACUAGCUAACAAACCUACUACUUCUUACUGUACCAAAAAAAUGAAAAUUCAGCAUCCUUCAGAUUCAUAUAAAAGCUGUCUUGCUGCCUUGAUAAUUACAGAUUAAGCAAUAUCAGUAUAUCAAAGAUACAAAACAAAUUGCUUCUAAAACCUCAAAAGGUUCUCUUACAAAUCUGGUGUGGGAAUGUCCUUCUGUGAUUUUGAUCAUUGAUUUAUUUGUAUUAUCCUCCAACACUGUGGCACUCAGAGUGAUAACUCGGUCAGCUAUGAGUAGAUGUAUAGCAGCCUGCUUCAAUGCUCAUGUUGUGAAGUUUUUAGUCACACAAAGGUGCUGGACUUGGGAACUUUGAGAUCUUUUUUCACAUGUUUGUUAUAGGAGAGAUCUUCUAUCAUUGUUGUGUCUGAAAUCUCUUUCUUUGAGAAAGGCAGCACUUUUGAAAAUUGUUUUUGUUAUUUCCUGCAAAGGAAGAGGCAGUGACAGAUAAUUAAUUUGAAUGCUGUAAAAUAUGAUGUAAUAAACAUGUAAAAUGUUUGUCAUUAAUGAAAUCGAUAUCUGAUAGCUUUCAGUUCUCCUUACA